Molecule: ribosomal RNA, 253 nt
Filed under: uncultured Simkania sp.
Lineage: Bacteria; Pseudomonadati; Chlamydiota; Chlamydiia; Parachlamydiales; Simkaniaceae
Description: partial 16S ribosomal RNA
Rfam family: Bacterial small subunit ribosomal RNA
Source: RNAcentral
UACGGAGGGUGCAAGCAUUAAUCGGAUUUAUUGGGCGUAAAGGGCGCGUAGGCGGAUAGGUAAGUCAGAUGUGAAAUUCCGAAGCUCAACUUCGGAUCUGCAUUUGAAACUAUCUAUCUUGAGGAAUGGCGGAGAAAACGGAAUUCCACGUGUAGCGGUGAAAUGCGUAGAUAUGUGGAGGAACACCGGUGGCGAAAGCGGUUUUCUAGCUUAAACCUGACGCUGAGGCGCGAGAGCAAGGGGAGCAAACAGG